UGGGGAAUAUUGGACAAUGGGCGAAAGCCUGAUCCAGCAACGCCGCGUGAGGGAUGACGGCCUUCGGGUUGUAAACCUCUUUCAGCGGGGACGAAGCGAAAGUGACGGUACCCGCAGAAGAAGCACCGGCCAACUACGUGCCAGCAGCCGCGGUAAUACGUAGGGUGCGAGCGUUGUCCGGAAUUAUUGGGCGUAAAGGGCUCGUAGGCGGUUUGUCGCGUCGGGAGUGAAAACUCAGGGCUUAACCCUGAGCCUGCUUCCGAUACGGGCAG
This 272-nucleotide ribosomal RNA is filed under the name uncultured Nocardioidaceae bacterium. RNAcentral's name for it is "partial 16S ribosomal RNA". It matches the Rfam family "Bacterial small subunit ribosomal RNA", at positions 355 to 639 of the family's 1533-position model. Lineage: Bacteria; Bacillati; Actinomycetota; Actinomycetes; Propionibacteriales; Nocardioidaceae. The record is from RNAcentral.